Molecule: long non-coding RNA, 2586 nt
Organism: Teleopsis dalmanni
Lineage: Eukaryota; Metazoa; Arthropoda; Insecta; Diptera; Diopsidae
Exons: 3
Source: RefSeq, a predicted model, not a curated record
UCCAUAUACGUUUUGGCUUAUUUGAAAUUGUUUCGAUUGAUUUUUCAAAAUUCCGAAGUAAUAUUUAAAAUUAACACAAUGCAUCCAUUGUUAUACUUCUUGAUGUUCAUACUGGGACUUGUUUUGUUAUUCGACUUGGUUGUAUUGUAUAUCGAAAAUAUAUGGGCACCAAAACAAACUAUAAAGAUAUACAUUAAGGUCUCACCAAAUGUAGCUGUCCAUAAAUAUAUAAGAAACAAAAUCGUUAAGAAGGUACGGAAAAGACAACAGAAUAGGAAAAAUAAAUCCAAAAAACCGAAACGUGUAACAUUUUAUGAAGACGAAGAACAGAAGAUAGAUAUCGCACAAGAGCCUGAGGAAAUAAUAGAACUUAGCGAUACGCAUGAGGAAGAACAGUCGGCGGCAGUUGGACCUGAUAAGAAAAAUAUGAAAUUCGUUUCUGUAAAAAGGAAUACUGGCAUUGGCAAUAAACUAAAAAGUUGGUACAAGAAAUUUGGUAGAAAAGGAGGUCGACAAAGAUUAAAUGUGCCAGCCAUAAAAUACAAAUAAAAUUUUUUUGAAGGUCACAAAAAACAAAAAAUUUGGCGAUACAAGUUAACAAGCAAUAGUUGACAAAAGAGAGUGAAAAUAUCUUACACAGAAAAUGUGGAUGUUUCCCUCAUUUAGUGAAAGCUAUAGAACAUUGAACACAUAAAUCCUCUAUAGUAACAGCUGUAUUUCAUAUAUCAUUGGAAAGUAGCAGAGAUUGGGCACAUAAAUCCUCCAUGAUAACAGCUGUAUUUCACAUAUCCUUAGAAAGUUGCAGAGAUUGGGCACAUAAAUCUUCCAUGGUAGCAGCUGUAUUUCAUAUAUCAUUGGAAAGUUGUAGAUAUUGGGCACAUAAAUCCUCCAUGAUAGCAGCUGUAUUUCACAUAUCCUUAGAAAGUUGCAGAGAUUGGGCACAUAAAUCUUCCAUGGUAGCAGCUGUAUUUCGUAUAUCAUUGGAAAGUUGUAGAUAUUGGGCACAUAAAUCCUCCACGAUAACAGCUGUAUUUCACAUAUCCUUAGAAAGUUGCAGAAAUUGGGCACAUAAAUCCUAGAGAUUGGGCACAUAAAUUCUCCAUGAUAGCAGCUCUAUUACACAAAACUUUGGAAAGUAGCUGUUUCAUUGGUCUCAUUACUAUGUACACAAAAAACGCCUGCUAGAAAGUAAACUACAAAUUUACAAUUAAAUUCUAUAAGCAAUUCCAUAAGGUGUAGUCGGGAUUUAAUUUUAAAUUUUGUCGUUUUGGUAAUACGGUUAUCUAUCCUUGAAACAAUCUGAAAGUUACUGACGAUUUUGAAGACAAGUCUCUACAUUAACUGACAACCGAAUAGAUGCACUAUUAAUUGAUAAUGUUAUAACUAGACUUGAUAGUAUUAUCUCUGUCGUAAAAAAAGUGUGAAUGGUGUAUGUCAUUUCAGCAUCUAUGUAAACGAUUGGCUGCAAAAUAUAGACAAGUGACCGGUUCUGGAACCCAGAUAACCCACAUUAAUAUUACUACUGUAGCACUCGUAUAUAUCUAUUAGUUAUCAUACGUAUGAUGUCAGACAGGUAUAUAUAUUUGCUACACUAAUAAUCCACAUUAAUAUUACUACUGUAGCACUCGUGUAUAUCUCUUAGUUAUCAUGCGUAUGAUGUCAGACAGGUAUAUAUCUUUGCUACAGUUUGUGAAGUGAGAAACAAGGAGAAAUAUUUGAAUAGGCUGUAAAAUAGAUCUUGUGCAUUGCAGUUCAAAUAAUUGUUGACGGAUGAAAUAAGUAUAUAUGUAGUAAAGCUGUAGAUUGAAUGGUUUGUAGAAAAGAAAUCAAUUAGAGGCACUAAAACUGUUGGUGGUUUGGUUUGGAAUUGAUUGUCGAAUGUAAUCUAAUCAUAGGCAGUUAAACAAUAUAUGGUACAGCUGGACUUGAACGCGCAUUUAUCGAAACUAUUAUCUACACAACAACCUAAAUCGAAAGAGCUGAAACUAUAGGUAGUCUCGUAUGAAAUUUGUUGAAUUUCCCUUACAACUUGUGAUUGGAGGAUCAAAUUGAAACGGAAGUGCUAAAAAUGGACUUGGUAUGGAAUACAUUUUCUGUUGCAUACUCAUUUUCCUACUAUGAUUUAUGAAAUGAAUCCAGAACGAAAAAUAGUAUGGAAUGGAUUUCGUUUUCGCUAUGAUUUUAAGAACAAAUUUAAACCAAAGUAUGCAUCUCACUGGAAGUAGUAACAACAUUGUUAGUAUGUAGUUUGCUGCAGACAUUUGGUAUUUUUUUUUUCAUGAUUGGCGGCAUAUAUCCAAUUAAAUGCAGAAAAGUGCAGUUUUGGUACCGUUACAAAUGUUAACCGAAGAUCCAUUGUAAUUAAUGGUUUUAAUUAAAGAUAGUAAAAUAGCUGAUAAUAAAUGCUUUUGCUAUAGAAUUGACACAUCGACUAAUGAAAUCGACUAUAUAAUAAGCUGUGCGAAGUUCGGCAUAAUAUACUAUAAAAAAUUUAACUAUACUAAAAUAUUACAAACCUAUUUUAUAGCUUAUGCAGUACAUUUAGUUCAUAAAAUACAACAAUAGUAACAAAUAAAAAUCCAUAGA